UCAAGCAGUAUAAAUUGGAGGAGUAGAGGUUGGGGUGCGCGUUUGCUGUAUCGAUGAGGGAGGUUUGAGGUGGAUGAGGGAUAACAGCACAGUGAGGGCAGAGAAGGACUCAUCCCAGGAACAAGACUUACCCCUGGAGGGCACAGCAAUAUGAAUACAGGAUUCAAAAAGACUGCAGGCUGAUCAAGUGGGAUGCAACGAAGCUUCGAGUGCUAUAUGAUGCCCGCCUGCACCUGUGUGACGUGUGACUUGAAAGUAGACAUGGCAAUGUGCUACAUGCCACCUUUGUUUUCAUAUCCCCUUCCACUGAUAGCCUGAGGCUGAUCCAUCCCUGUUGGUGUGACAAGAGGCAGAAAGAGAAGGAAGAAAUAAAGAAAAAUGACAACACUUCCUUCAGGAUUCAUUCUCUCAACAACUGAACUAUUAUGCAUCUGAACUAUUAUGCAUUGACUUUCAUCAUAGUUGACUUUUGUCCUGCCUGAUAUAGCCUUAUAAUAUAACAACAGAUAAUACUAAUAAUAGGAGGCAGCUAUUAAUUCCAGUAGCAAUAUAUUAAUAAGAGUUUAUAGUAAGACUAAUAUUAAUGAUGAUUUAUUAAUGGUCAAUAACGAUUGUAACUGUUCAUUUCCUUAUCACAGCAUUUCAAAGCAGGUAGAUUUUCCUUAUCAGCCUUGACACAUCACACACAUCCUGGGCUUCCACCAUAUAUAUGUAGCCAAUGUGUGAUAUAUGUUAUAUAUAUUUCUGUUACACAAGAGGCACCAGUACAAAUUCUUUUUAUCCUCCCUCCCUCCAGUUUUCAGAUCCCCUUCCACUGUUAGCCGCAGGUUGAUCCAUCCCUGUUGGUGUGACAUAUUGGAAGAAAGAGAAAGGAAGAAAGAGAAAAUGAAGAGCAUGACAACACUUCCUUCAGGAUUCAUGAUUGUAAUGGUUCAGUUCCACCAUAUAUAUGUAGCCAAUGUAUGUUCAAUAUCGUUCUGUUAUAUAUAGAAUUAGAGAGAUGAGAAAGCAAAUAGAUAUAUUUGAUUAUA
Long non-coding RNA from Alligator mississippiensis (American alligator), 1031 nucleotides. RefSeq lists it as uncharacterized. Lineage: Eukaryota; Metazoa; Chordata; Crocodylia; Alligatoridae. The record is from RefSeq and is a predicted model, not a curated record. The transcript has 2 exons.